This 303-nucleotide long non-coding RNA is filed under the name Phoenix dactylifera (date palm). RNAcentral's name for it is "long non-coding RNA (PDAC_LNC003587)". The record is from RNAcentral. Lineage: Eukaryota; Viridiplantae; Streptophyta; Magnoliopsida; Arecales; Arecaceae.
UCGCUGCUGACGGCCCACCUGGCCCGGAUGAAGGAGAGCGGCGAGCUCCUCCUCGUCAAGAACAACUACUUGAAGCCUGGGCCCGAAGCGCCCCCCAAGCGGGGCCGCGGCCGGCCCCCCAAGCCCAAGCCCGUCGUCCCCCCGGACGCCGUCCUCCCCCCUCCCCGCCCCCGCGGCCGGCCCCCAAGCCCAAGGACCCCCUCGCCGCCGCGGUUGCCAAGGUCAACAAAGGCCUCCCCAGGGCCCGCGGCCGCCCGCCCAAGAAAGCCCGGCCUGCCGUCUCCGCCGCCGCGGCUCCGGCUU